GCUAUAAUAUCUACAUUAUUUCCUCUGGUGUGGUCAGAAAACCUCUUAGGGAUUUCAGAGAGGUAUAAUGUGUUGAUCUAACGUGUUAGACAGAUAUCGGAAUAAAUCGCAGAAGUCAAAAUUGCAAAAAGUUUCCCAGAUUACCCAAAUUCACCCUAACUGUAUCAUUCAUCCACUCGUCAAACGCCUGCCCGUCUGCCUGCCUCUCUGCCUGCCUGUCUGCCUGCCUCUCUGCCUGCCCGUCUGCCUGCCUGUCUGUCUGCCUGCCUGUCUGCCUGCCUCUCUGCCUGCCUGCCUGCCUGUCUGCCUGCCUCUCUGCCUGCCUGCCUGCCUGUCCGUCAUCUAUUUAUCUGUUCAUCUGUCUAAAAUAUAAGUGCAAGUAUUAUUUCACAAAAUGGAGGACUUAUUUUAGAUGGAUGGUUACAGUAGAUAGAUGAUAGAGGUACUUUAAAACUUUGCUAAUCCUUUUUUUUUACUUACACAAUCCCAUCAACAACUAAGACUUGCGUUUCGAUGUGUGUGGUUGAUUUAAAGAGUACGUAUCUCAUUAUUUAAACCUCCCAUGUUUAGAUUUGAACACACAUUGUAGCCUUCUUAUCGCUUACUUUCAUUGCAUUUCGUCCUUUCUUCACCACCCAUCAAACACUCUUAAUGACACACCUUCCCGACAAUCAGUCAUCUAUUCAUCUAUCCAACAGAUAAGUGCAAUCAUUAGUUCAGAAAAGAGAGGAAAUGUUUUAGAUAUUCUUCAAGAUAGAUGGAAAGAUACAGUACGUGAGUAGAUUAUAUUUUGUUUGAAACUUUCCUCAACCCCUUAAUGACAACACAACAAAAAGGCAUGAUUUUGAAUAUUAAUGGUUAAUAUGUCGAGUUCAGCCUUCCUUAAAAAAUACCAUAGCCAUGCUUUUGUGUUUGAGCUCAUUGGGCCUCAUUCGCCAACAUCUUCCUACGUUUUUGUCUUACAUUUGUUCUUGAAAAAGGUCCUAAGAAAAGUCCACAACAGAUUAAUGACGUGUUCUUGAAUUCUGGAACCUCAGUUUCCUCAGGAAAGUCCUGAGCUUGGACCACAGGCUACGAUUCCUCGAUGACGGACUAGAAAGGAGGAAUGGAGCAGAAAGAAAAUGACAAUGUUUUAAUAAUUUAACCAACUCUUGAAUGGCCUCUUAUCCUCAGCAUCCAAACAAUAAGAAAGCACAUACAAUCAUAGGAUCCAGCGAUGGGGAGACUGGCCCUGGUACAUGUGAUCCAGCGACACAGUGGGCAGCACACCAUCAGCAGGCCACUCUGGAGCCUGGAUAACGCCUGGAGACACUGCCCACAGAAGGUGUGCUUGCAGUGAAGCAUUCGAGGGGUCUUGUCCCUGCGUGAGUAGGACUGGAGGCAGACGCAGCACUCCAUGUCUUCACUCGUUAGUCCCAUGUCUGGUUGGCUGGGGUGUGGAUGGACACAAGAUGGACAGCUUGAGCGCAGAGGAACUCUGGAUGUAGAAACAGUGUUCUGACAGGAAAAAUGAAACUGGUUGAAUGUCUGUUUUCCUCUUUCAAGGUUUAUAUUGGUGCUGAUAUAGGUUUGUUCUCAAGUGUGGGUCAGAAAUCUACAAGAAAAAACAAAGGUAUCAAUGAAAACAUGUUGAAGCAAGUGUACAUUGCAUUGACAAAGGUCUGCUGACCUUAAUGUAACUACUUUUAAAGAAAACAUCCAUCUGACAGGAAAUAUAGAUUGUCUUAUUUAGCAUUUUGCUCUCAGCCAUCACUAACCUCUCUUGGGUAGAUUAAGCCUAUUAUCUGCAUUAUGUUUAAUGUCAGAGAAACAAAUCUUUUCAUAUCUCAACUCAGACUGACAAAAUUUUUGUAAGCUAAUAAUCAAUAUGAAAUAAAACAGACAUGCUGUAUAACAUACAGAGCAUUCCUAUUCAGACAUCCCUUUCAACACUGCCAAGAAAUUAUUUUACUUACUUCACUUGAUUAUCCGUCCAGCAUAUAACAAUCUGAUGAUUCAACUUUAUCUGUGGAAAUGUGAGUGAUAGUACGACAACCGCUUUUCUCUAUCUGCUUGCAAUCAAUUAAAGCAUGAGGUUUGUUUUUCCUGGACUCACCUUAUAAGGUGAGGCAGUUAAGUUCUCUGGAACUGAUCAAACAUUACCGCCAUGCAAAUAAUUCACACUCACUAAAAUACUCUUUGCCAAGUUCUUACAGUUGCUUCUAUGCAGCAGCUACGUUUUAAAAGCACAUACUGAAUGUCUGGUUUUUGGUAACCCAUAUUAGCUAUAGAUCAGUUAGUAUGUGUUCAGAUAGGCAGGCUAGUACCGACCACCCAACUGAUUAUUGAUGCUGCAAUGCAUCUGGUCUUUUCUCUGUAUUUCUUGGGGGAAUUUUAUGUGUCAUUUGGUUGUGUUGACAGAAGAGAACAGGAACGUUUUUACUGAGACCCGUGAGCUGUUUUAGUAAUGACGGC
Molecule: long non-coding RNA, 2454 nt
Organism: Esox lucius (northern pike)
Lineage: Eukaryota; Metazoa; Chordata; Actinopteri; Esociformes; Esocidae
Source: Ensembl